Molecule: ribosomal RNA, 497 nt
Filed under: uncultured bacterium
Lineage: Bacteria
Description: partial 16S ribosomal RNA
Rfam family: Bacterial small subunit ribosomal RNA
Source: RNAcentral
GAUGAACGCUGGCGGCGUGCCUAAUACAUGCAAGUCGAGCGAACGGACGAGAAGCUUGCUUCUCUGAUGUUAGCGGCGGACGGGUGGGUAACACGUGGAUAACCUACCUAUAAGACUGAGAUAACUUCGGGAAACCGGAGCUAAUACCGGAUAAUAUUUUGAACCGCAUGGUUCAAAAGUGAAAGACGGUCUUGCUGUCACUUAUAGAUGGAUCCGCGCUGCAUUAGCUAGUUGGUAAGGUAACGGCUUACCAAGGCAACGAUGCAUAGCCGACCUGAGAGGGUGAUCGGCCACACUGGAACUGAGACACGGUCCAGACUCCUACGGGAGGCAGCAGUAGGGAAUCUUCCGCAAUGGGCGAAAGCCUGACGGAGCAACGCCGCGUGAGUGAUGAAGGUCUUCGGAUCGUAAAACUCUGUUAUUAGGGAAGAACAUAUGUGUAAGUAACUGUGCACAUCUUGACGGUACCUAAUCAGAAAGCCACGGCUAACUACGUG